UACGUAGGGUGCAAGCGUUGUCCGGAAUUAUUGGGCGUAAAGAGCUCGUAGGCGGUCUGUCGCGUCGGAUGUGAAAACCCAGGGCUCAACCCUGGGCCUGCAUUCGAUACGGGCAGACUAGAGUUCGGUAGGGGAGACUGGAAUUCCUGGUGUAGCGGUGAAAUGCGCAGAUAUCAGGAGGAACCCCAGAGGCGAAGGCGGCGUCCUGGCUCGCAUCUGACGCUCAGACACGACAGCAUGGGGAGCGAACGGG
Molecule: ribosomal RNA, 253 nt
Filed under: uncultured bacterium
Lineage: Bacteria
Description: partial 16S ribosomal RNA
Rfam family: Bacterial small subunit ribosomal RNA
Source: RNAcentral